UAUUCUUUUUUAUUGUGGAUAUUGUAGAAUGAGAUACGCCAAACUCCUUUGCGAUGGUUGCAUUUGAUUCACCGGCUUCCAAUCGGUGUAAUAUUGCACUUUUUUCUUCAAUUGUAAAACACUUUCGCUUCACUGAACUCAUUUUGUCGAGCUUUAUGAACUUAUCAUAACAGGUGACAAACACUAACUGUGAUUUACGUGCGCCAAUAAGGAGAGAUGAAACGCGCGGGGCGGGGGUGCGAGUACGUAGGUAAAUAAAACAUUGCUCGAGUGUCGUUUUAACCAGACGUAUUAUCAUAAAUAAUGGUCGCUAUAAGCAGUUGGUCGCUUAAACCGGAGUCGCACUAAACGGUUAUAUUCUCUUAGUACCUAUCUACGAAACCUAAGGGCUAAAACGCACUAGCGGCCUGCCGCGAUGCGGUAUGCCGAUGCGGCAGGCCGCAGCAUAUACGGUCAGCCGUAACGGCACGCCGUAUUCCGGCUAACCGUAUGGUCUUGGCUCACUGCGGUCUGCCGCAAUCGUCAGUGCUUCUAGAAAUUUUGCACAUGAUGGACGUUGAGGAAGUUGCGGCAGUCAUUUAUUUAUAUCAUCGUAGAAAAUAUCGUCAAAAAAAUAAACAUAGAUUUUGGAUACAUCCUCUAUUGGUGACACGACAUGACGGCAAAGAGUUUAAUAUUUUUAUUUCAAACCUAAAGAAAUUUGAAGAUAAGUUCUUUGGAUACACUAGGAUGUCAGUAAAAUCGUAUGAAGAAUUAUUAACAAAACUAUAUUUAAAUAUUCGUGGCCAGGAUACACGAUUUCGGAUAUCUAUAUCCCCGGAAGAAAAGCUCAUUAUAACCAUCAGAUAUUUGGCAACCGGAUGUACAUUCGCUGAACUACAUUACACAUUUCGAAUUGGUGCGAGUACAAUAGCUGAAUUUGUUCGUGAAGUAUGUUCGGCAAUAUGGUUACUGUUAAAAGAAUCUUGUUUACCGAAGCCAUCUCAACAAAGAUGGCUAGAUAUUGCAAAGGGUUUCUCUACAAGAGCUAAUUUUCCGAAUUGCAUUGGGGCUAUAGAUGGGAAACACAUACGGGUAAUAAAGCCGUGCCAUAGUGGAUCCAUGUACUACAAUUAUAAGCAGUUCUUUUCCAUUAUACUUAUGGCUAUAUGCGACAGUAACUACAAAUUCAUAACAAUAGAUGUCGGUGCUUGUGGCAAAUUUGGAGACUCAGCAGUUUAUCAACACUAACUUUUACAAAAAAAUGAUAGCAGGAGAACUUGAGAUACCAGAAUCAGUACCCAUAUCACAAGUAAAUACUAUUCCAAUGCCAUAUGUUUUAGUAGGCGAUGAAGCCUUUCCCUUAUCCACCAACUUAAUGCGACCUUAUGCAAAACCAAAAAAUUCUAAUUUAAACACUACUAAGAGAAUAUAUAAUUAUCGGCAUAGUAGAGCACGGCGAUAUGUCGAAUGUUCGUUUGGAAUACUGAGCAAUAAGUGGCGUAUAUUCCAUAGACCUUUAAAUGUGGAUAUUAGUUUGGCUACUGAUAUCAUCAAAGCAUGUUGCAUUUUGCAUAACUACGUUCGAGACAGAGACGGUUAUAACUAUGAAGAUACUUUAACAUGUUACAUGUCGCCUGAUGUACCAGAAACUCCGAGAACAUAUAAUCGAAUAGGUAAUAAUAUCGCUGAAAGAAUUCGUGACUCUUUCGCUCAGUAUUUUGAACAUGAAGGUAAAUUGGAAUGGCAAGAAAAAUAUAUAUAAGUAAAUAUAAUGGCAUUAAUCCGCAAAAUCGCAGGAAAUUGCGAAUAAAAAGUAGGUAUGAUGAUUGUAACAUUGUAACCAUGAUUAAUAAAUAACGUAACUUACCGAGUUCUUUCUUUUCUUCCGAUGUAUCAUCUUCCUUUGCAUAUAUAUUAAUCAUUUCCUCCCAACAUUUUAACUUUUUAUUUCUGUCUGCAUAAUCAGCGCAUUUGCUAUCCCAUAUUGCGGGGCGUUCUUUUAUUUCUAAAAUGAACUUUUCUGUAUCAAAAUCCAUGACGCGCACGAGUAGCGUCUAGCGCGUGAAACAAGCGACGACGGACUGGCGGGCGGGACGCGGCGUUUGCGACUACCGCGCCGAGUGCGUGGUGGGGAUGCGGUGCGCCGCAUCAUUCAACCGGCGCGGCUCGUCGCAGCUCCGGAACAACCGGAGCGGUUGACGGCUGGCCGCAAAUCAGUGCGUCGUUAUCGUGCGGUUUCAUGUACUAAUCGAUGUGCGGCCUACCGCAACGGCACGCCGCAUGGCGGCCAACCGCUAGUGCGUUAUAGGCCUAACUUGAGUGAACAUUAUCGUCGCUAAAACCGAUUAGUUGUUAUAAGCGAAGUCGUUAUAUAUGAAUUCUACUGUAAUAAUAUAUUUUUAAGGACAAAUAAAAAAAACCAUCUUGCCCCGUAUGUGGGGUACGCUAUCUUCUUGUCCUGAAGUUGACGCUCUGGUCUUCUUUUGUAGUUUAUCACUUUUACCGUCGUCGUUUAGUUUAUCACCGUCCUGCUGGAAAUAAA
Long non-coding RNA from Plodia interpunctella (Indianmeal moth), 2524 nucleotides. RefSeq lists it as uncharacterized. The transcript has 2 exons. The record is from RefSeq and is a predicted model, not a curated record. Lineage: Eukaryota; Metazoa; Arthropoda; Insecta; Lepidoptera; Pyralidae.